Molecule: ribosomal RNA, 253 nt
Filed under: uncultured bacterium
Lineage: Bacteria
Description: partial 16S ribosomal RNA
Rfam family: Bacterial small subunit ribosomal RNA
Source: RNAcentral
UACGUAGGGUGCAAGCGUUGUCCGGAAUUAUUGGGCGUAAAGAGCUCGUAGGCGGUUUGUCGCGUCGGCUGUGAAAACUCGGGGCUCAACCCCGAGCCUGCAGUCGAUACGGGCAGACUAGAGUGCUGUAGGGGAGACUGGAAUUCCUGGUGUAGCGGUGAAAUGCGCAGAUAUCAGGAGGAACACCGGUGGCGAAGGCGGUUCUCUGGGCAUGACCUGACGCUGAGGAGCGAAAGCAUGGGGAGCGAACAGG